Molecule: ribosomal RNA, 497 nt
Filed under: uncultured bacterium
Lineage: Bacteria
Description: partial 16S ribosomal RNA
Rfam family: Bacterial small subunit ribosomal RNA
Source: RNAcentral
GAUGAACGCUGGCGGCGUGCCUAAUACAUGCAAGUCGGGCGAACGGACGAGAAGCUUGCUUCUCUGAUGUUAGCGGCGGACGGGUGAGUAACACGUGGAUAACCUACCUAUAAGACUGGGAUAACUUCGGGAAACCGGAGCUAAUACCGGAUAAUAUUUUGAACCGCAUGGUUCAAAAGUAAAAGAGGGUCUUGCUGUCACUUAUAGAUGGAUCCGCGCUGCAUUAGCUAGUUGGUAAGGUAACGGCUUACCAAGGCAACGAUGCAUAGCCGACCUGAGAGGGUGAUCGGCCACACUGGAACUGAGACACGGUCCAGACUCCUACGGGAGGCAGCAGUAGGGAAUCUUCCGCAAUGGGCGAAAGCCUGACGGAGCAACGCCGCGUGAGUGAUGAAGGUCUUCGGAUCGUAAAACUCUGUUAUUAGGGAAGAACAUAUGUGUAAGUAACUGUGCACAUCUUGACGGUACCUAAUCAGAAAGCCACGGCUAACUACGUG